This 253-nucleotide ribosomal RNA is filed under the name uncultured bacterium. Its description in RNAcentral is "partial 16S ribosomal RNA". It matches the Rfam family "Bacterial small subunit ribosomal RNA", at positions 524 to 776 of the family's 1533-position model. The record is from RNAcentral.
UACGUAGGGGGCAAGCGUUGUCCGGAAUUAUUGGGCGUAAAGAGCGUGUAGGCGGCCAGAUAAGUCCGCUGUGAAAUCUCGAGGCUCAACUUCGAGCUGUCGGUGGAAACUGUCUGGCUAGAGUCCGGAAGAGGAGAAUGGAAUUCCUGGUGUAGCGGUGAAAUGCGCAGAUAUCAGGAAGAACACCCGUGGCGAAGGCGGCUCUCUGGGACGGUACUGACGCUGAGACGCGAAAGCGUGGGGAGCGAACAGG